This 1931-nucleotide unclassified non-coding RNA is filed under the name Hevea brasiliensis (rubber tree). Lineage: Eukaryota; Viridiplantae; Streptophyta; Magnoliopsida; Malpighiales; Euphorbiaceae. The record is from RNAcentral.
GGGAUUCCAUCUUGGACAUGAAAGUAAAAUACUACACAGCACAAGAAAAUGUUACUAUUUCUGUCUGAGGCCUCGCGUUGUUCUCAUCAAUCAUAAAUAUUCUACCAAAAAGCAUUGCCAAUUUGGAUAGUCAUCAAGCACAGGCUGUUUUACAUUCCAGGCAAUGAUCCAGCACUUAGUCUUUUAUACUACUACUGCUGCUACAGUGUUUUGAUUUACAGAAUCUUUGAGAAGAACAGCUAAUACAAAGCACUUACAUUAGCCUUGGCCCUUGAGGUAUCAUGCCUUGAUGUCUUACAACCAUUUCCUCCGACUGGCUGAUUUUUUGUCACCAGACAUAAAUCUAGGAAGACUAAGAAGGCUAUUAACCCUGGUUACUCCCUCGAGGGCUGACCAUUCCUGAUCUUCUGCAGUUGAAAGGCACUCGGCUAGGCUUCUCUUAGAAUGUCCAAGACCCUUAUCCGCUAGCUGUUCUUCUAUUGAUUCGUCAACAGGAACUAUCUCACUGGCGUCUAUUGUAGUAACUGAAUGUUCACGAACUGCAAUAUGAGUAGCAUUACUAUCUGCACUUUCAAGGUUGCCAUCAGUAAUAAUCGUCUUUAUUUCCACUUCAGGAGCCUUUGUCAAAUCAUGUUGCCUCGCUGUGACUACAGAAUCAGGUGCAGGUACACGGUCCAGGAAAAGGCAUACUACAGCACAAUCAUCAGUUUUUGAUGUCGGGUACUUCAGCCUCCAAGCUCUUGUCGCACAGUCAACAAGAGCUCGGGCAGCUGUUGCGCGACUUGGUGCGGAGGCCACAAUAUCCACGGCUUCCUUAUUAGAAAGUACAUCCCAAACCCCAUCAGUUGCUAGAACAACAAAUUCGUUCCUAUCAGUUAUGCGGUGGUAAUACACAUCAGGGACAGAAAUUAACCCAAAAUCCUUGAGACAAAAAUCACCAAAUGCUCUGGCCAUUGCCAAGCCAGGAGAGUCACUGUUCGGCAACCAUACACGCGCAACCUCUGGCUCAUCUUGCAAUGCAAAAACCCUGCCUUUGUAUUUAUGUAUUCUAGCAGCUUCUCUUGGAAGAUUAGGCUUCAAAUCUACUGUCAACUGUACAGCCAUUAAAUAGUUGUCUUUAUCUCUAGUUGCCAAUACUGCUCUUGAGUCACCAACAUUGCCAACAAUUAUAUCCUGGCCCUGCAUCACCAAGGAAACAGCAGUUGAUCCACUACAGAAACAAUCAAUAGAAGGGUGCAACUUGAGUUCUUUAUCCAUCGACCGGAAAGCUUUUAACAUUGAUCUUUUAAGGGGAAGAUGUAUUUCUGGGAACUUUUCAUUGUUCUCAGCUUCCAUAGCUUCAAUCAAAUCAUCAUCCAAGACAUCAUCAAGAUGUGAACCUCCGUUGGUAUUUCCUGUCUCAGAAGUAUUACUUUGAUCACCACCGGAUUUAACUUGCCACUCUGAACACAGGAGAAACGGAAGAGUAUCUCGAACUUUCCUUGCCACCAUAUGGCCAUAGGGACCGUGUCCAUCAAAUACUCCGCAAAAGAUCGUAUCACUUCGCGAGCAAAAAUUCUAUUGUAGAAAAUUCCAACCAAGUCAUAAACUCCCAAAUGAUCAUGGCAUCUUGAUUCGUUCCUUUUUUCCCUUGCUGAGUGUGUAGGCAAGCACGGGAGGUGGCUCCAUUCCCCAAAAUCCUUCCGGGAAUAUGAUGCAGCCCCUUGUCCUCACCCCCUCCUCCACCAACACCACUUAACUUGCUUAAAAAUGAGCUGAAAUCGCCACUAUAACUGUUCUUCUUCAACUUGUAAUCAAACCUUCUGCUGUCAUUCUUACCAUCCCACAACCCAUCAUCGCUCUUGCUUUUACUUGAAGAGUAACAAAUUCCCAUUCCCCCUUAAAAAUCUGCGUUCUCUCUCUGAGGAAAUUUAUCAAACACCUCAGAAUAA